Molecule: ribosomal RNA, 288 nt
Filed under: uncultured prokaryote
Description: partial 16S ribosomal RNA
Rfam family: Bacterial small subunit ribosomal RNA
Source: RNAcentral
UGAGGAAUUUUGCGCAAUGGGGGAAACCCUGACGCAGCAACGCCGCGUGAGUGAUGAAGGCCUUCGGGUCGUAAAGCUCUGUCAAGUGGGAAGAAUCUGUCCGGUGAUAAUACCGCUGGGCAAUGACGGUACCGCUGAAGGAAGCACCGGCUAACUCCGUGCCCGCAGCCGCGGUCAUACGGGGGGUGCUAGCGUUAUUCGGAAGCAUUGGGCGUAAAGGGCGCGUAGGCGGUCUUUUAAGUCAGAUGUGAAAGCCCUCGGCUUAACUGAGGAAGUGCAUGUGAUACU